Non-coding RNA from Cyanistes caeruleus (blue tit), 2019 nucleotides. NCBI's taxonomy places the organism in Eukaryota, Metazoa, Chordata, Aves, Passeriformes, Paridae. The record is from RefSeq and is a predicted model, not a curated record.
UUUUGGGGAUUUUGGGGUGGGUGAAGGUAAAACCUGAGCUGCCUGUUUGGCCAUUUCCCCUAGGAUCAGCUUCCCUGAGUUCAUCAGGAGAGUGCCAGACCCCUCUGGAUUUCUUCUCAUGAUUUAAAGCCUCUCCUGGAUGUGUCCUUAACCACAACACCCUGUUUGCAAACCAAUGCACAGAAAAGCAUCUUCCCUGCUUCCCAUCACCUCUGGGCAAGCCCUGCAGACAGUGCUGGGUCCUCUUCCUGAUUUACACCACUGGAGGCCAUUGAUAAUGCCCGUGGAGAGGCUCCCGACUCCUCCUGCUGCCUCAGACAUCUGACUGCCACUUCCCCUGCUCUCCCAGACAACUGGCAGUCCAUUUGUUUUCAGCCUCCCUGGAACAGGUCUGCCCUUUUAUUUCCUAGCUCUCUUCUGCCCUGCCAGCAGCCCUGAAGCUCCCUUGUCAAAGCAAGAGAGGAGAAGAGUUAUGUUCCACACACUGAGAUGCGGCUGGCACUGGUGUGAGAUGGGAAGCAGGCCUGGAUUUGGCCAUGUGGCCCAGAUGUUUUGGGUUUGAUUUAUUUGUUUGCUACUUUUUCUGAUGCCUGCUGCUCUGCUCUGGAGGAUCUCAGCUUUUGUUAGAAGCAAAUUAAUAAGAAAAGAAAAAAAAAAAACAGCGGGGAAAGAAAGAAGAACAGAAAGUGUUGGAGGAAGCAGUGACAUUUGGAAAUGUACAUGAGGCAAUGUGGUGAUGUUUACUUCAGUCUGCUGAAAACUUGAGACAACAGCUUGGAGGAAGAUGGAGGAUCUCCCUCUUGGCUGUCAUCCCUUUCCUCUGCUGCAUCCCCUGGUGGGCUCAGAGCAUGCCGAGCCCACUCCCUUUGCUCUUUCCCCUGCAGCCACUAAGUGGAUGCUGGAUGACAUUUGGAUAACAACCAAACCUGAGGAUUUCACUCAGUUCUGGGAGCUGUGCUGCAGAGGCUUGAAAUUUUUGGAGGAGCAGCCAGACUGGAGGAGCUUUGCAAAUCCUGCACACUCCUGGGCUGAGCAUCCACCCACUGAACACUGAGGUGGUGCCUCAGUUUUGCAUCGCAGUGAGGUGGAGUUGGAGAAAGCAUCAUCGACUCAAACCUUGCAUAGAAACAGCUCCCUGCCUGCUGUUCAACCUCUAUAAUGAACACAGGCAUAGAUCAGAGUGAGGUACAAGCUGAAAAAUUCAGAUCCCAGUCCAAAAUAUGAAUGUGCCAGCACCUGGGUGUGUAGUUCUGGAGCUGGAGUCUGACUCACUUGCAAAUAGGGACCCUUUGCAAAACAUGGAUCAAGGUUCGAAUUUCUGACCCUCCUCCAAAAUUUAAGAUUGAAGAAAUUCUGAGAACUCAAUGUUUUGAUUCUAGGCCAUCUAAGAGGGGUGAAAUAUGUGCUUAAGUGCUUUGUUGAAUAGAAAGAGACUGGAGCAUGUGCUUAAUGUUAUUAAGUGCUUAACUGUUUUUGUUGAAUCAGGGCCCCCCUGCUUUUAAAGUCAAUUCUAAACCCUUAGGCUGCAUCUGAAAGGAUUUGGAAAAGAAGUGGCAUCCAGAUACUGCUGGAUGUUUGACUGCUGAACUCUGCAUUCCUGCUUUGAAGGCUGGUUCCUCUGAAUCUGCUCUCGUUGCUGUUCCAAACCUUCUCCAGGCUUGGCCCUGCUCAUCAGGUGACUGAGAAGAGAGCACAGAGGGUUAUGGACAUUUAACACAGGCCCUGGCACAACUCCUGGAGAAGUUUGGAUGUCCUGCAGUUUCCAUCAGUGAUCCCAAGGCAGUGUGGUAACACCAGGAUCGCUGCCUGAGGGGAUUGCUUGUCUCCAGGACCCUCUUCAAUCCCAGCAGGGACUGUCAGGAUUCAGUUUAACUUCCUCUGUAGCUCAGACCAAGAAACUCACAUAGGAUUCCUUCCUCAAACAUCUGCUUGCUGUGUGAGCUGUGUCUGUUUUUAAGGCAUCUGCCUGAAGAUAAAGGCUUAAAUUUAUAAACCAAAAUGUUUGAAUUAAAAAAAAAA